CACGGAGAUCUGAGUGUCUGCUGAGGUUACUGCGGUUAUAUGUUACUGCUACAAAUUUGUACAGAUUGUGCUUUUAUUGUGAAAGCCGUCGGACCGGAACUAACAGCACGGCGAAUCACGAGCACGGAAACGGUGUGUAUAUUCUGGUAUUGUAACGUCAACUGUAAUAAAGGCACCAACUUCGCCCGAAGGAUGGCUCAGGAAGGUGGACCACCCUUCCUCCUCUCCCUCUUCAUGUCUCUCCUCAUGCUAUCAUCUCUGUGUGGCUGUCACCCUCGCUCUCCUGGCUCCAUAAGGUCAAUGGCUGCAGCCGGGCAUGUAUCCAAUCAUACCGCAAGGAAAGUCUCAACAAUAGCUGCAGAGGUCGCAGGCUACGCUGAUGUGGCCAAACAGAUCAUUGACCUGGCUGUGUUUGGAGCGGCCCAGAACCGCUCUCACAGCCGGCUGGCCGACUUCACCGACACCAUAGGGAACCGUGUGAGUGGCUCGCACAACCUGGAGAUGGCUAUCAAAUACAUGUACGAUGCUAUGGCACAGGAUGGGUUGGACGUACAUUUAGAGCCAGUCAAAAUCCCACAUUGGGUGAGAGGGAAGGAGAGUGCAGAAAUGAUUGCACCCAGAGUCAAAAGUCUGGCUAUACUGGGACUGGGCAGCAGUGUAGGGACACCACCUGAGGGUAUCGAGGCAGAGGUGUUGGUGGUUCAGUCUUUUGAGGAGCUGAAGAAUAGAGCCAGCGAGGCCACAGCGAGGAUUGUGGUCUUUAACCAACCAUUUGUUAGCUACGGGGAGACGGUGGCUUACCGCGCUUAUGGCGCCUCUGAAGCAGCCAAAGUGGGAGCUGUGGCCACACUCAUUCGAUCUAUUACUCCAUUCUCUAUUAACAGUCCCCACACAGGUUUGCAGGACUACCAAGAUGGAGUGAAGCGCAUCCCUUCAGCCUGUAUCACUGUGGAGGAUGCUGAGCUAAUGUGGCGUAUGGCACAGAGAGGGCAGAGGAUCGUGGUCAGACUCUCAAUGGGAGCCAAGACUCUACCAGAUGCUGACUCCUUCAACACAGUGGCUGAGAUAACAGGCUGGCAACACCCUGAGCAGGUCGUCUUACUGAGCGGCCAUUUGGACAGUUGGGAUGUGGGCCAAGGCGCCAUGGAUGACGGAGGUGGAGCCAUGAUUUCCUGGGAGGCCCUGUCACUCAUCAAAGACUUGGGUUUGCGUCCGAGGAGAACUUUGCGGACAGUGCUGUGGACAGCUGAGGAGCAAGGUGGAGUCGGAGCGCAGCAGUACUACAGUCGACACAAGGUGAACAUGUCCAACUUUGACCUGGUCAUGGAGUCUGACUUGGGGACAUUUGCCCCGGUGGCUCUGCAGUUUACUGGCAGUGAUGCAGCACGAAAGGUCAUGGCAGAGGUGGUCAAACUGUUGGCUCCCAUGAAUACGACCAAACUGGAGGCACACGGAGAAGGGACAGACAUCUCCCCGUGGAUGCAGGCAGGAGUACCAGGUCGGUCGAAUCAAUGUGUCUUCUCUGUCUGUCUGCAACUAGCAACACAUGUCCAUGACAUGACAAUUGAGCAAAGUGAGACACUUGAAAUGGGAAGUAACUCAUCAUUAGCAACCUUAUUUCUGUGGUUCUGGUGUUAAUACCUUCUCUUUUUUGUGUGACAGGGCCGUGUAAACAGAAUCACAUCCUCAUUUUGAUGAACUAUGAACAUAAUACCGUAGAGAAUGGAGAAGUGGGGGCAGAUAUCCACUUUAUGUGGAAUUUCUUAACAAUCUGAAUUGAAACAUACUUCUAAUUUAGCAGUAAGGGUGAGCGACUGUAUUAUGCCAUAACAUUAUAGUUACAUUGUCACAAUCACCAAUGCUAUACUUAAAGGUAACUUUGGUUUAUUUCACUUUGACACAAUGUUUGGAAAAGGGCCCUGAGAAUUGGACCUUGGGCCUAUUGUACACAUUAUAGGUCUGUAAACACCACUAAAUAUCUAAACUAAAUGCUACUACUACUCCUAAAUAAAUAAUUAAAUAGAAAUAACGGCACAUAAUCAAUAUAACAGAAAUUUGUUUUAUUACAACACGUCCACUGAACCUGUAUGUUUUUAUAUUUUCCCAUAUAAAAAAGACACCUCCAUACGCAGAUGGUUGAAUAAUGAAGACAGUACGAUAGGACCCAGCUUUUGGCUGCUGACAGUUUUCCAGUCAACAAGGAAAUUACAGUUUUCAUGCUGGCCUGCUCCGCAGUCAUUCUCGCACAUAUUACCAGUAGCUUCACACAAUAAAUGAGUGACUUUUUUUUUCCUCACUUUUAGUUCUGGUUUCUUAUACAUGUUCGACAUGAUGUACUGUAAAUGAACCAACUUGUUACUGUAGAAGAAGCUUGCAGCGCUGAAACUGGACCUUCCUGUCAAAUGAUUUACGUUUCAUCUACUGGCCAGUAUUGUUAUCAACCCAAGUAUCCUUUUCUGUUAAAUAUCAAAGAUUUCACUGAUGUCUUCACCUGUUCCACUGUUAAUGUUAAGGUACCAUCCCUUGUUUAGCAGUGGCGACAAGAAACUGUACCAAGCCAUAGAAGUUUGCCUCAUUUUAAAACGAUGAUCUGCUCUUUCUAUCUUUUAUGUGGUCCAAACAUCUUCUCUAAAACUCUGUUUAGUUUUAGUAGAAGUGAAAUUGCACUGUAGUCAGAAAGACAAUGUGGUAUAACUUGUGGAAGAGGAACUGAAGACUUAAAAGUAAAACAAAAAUAUUUCAACCUUCAUCCAAGCAGUCCACAAACGCAUCCCCAAUAACUCAACAGGAUAAUUAGUUGCCUAAAGAUGUUCAGUUGUCUUAAUAUUAAACAACUCCAAUAGAGCAGCUGACAACUUGAUGCUGUACUCAAGUUUUCAGAAGUCUUAAUUGUUCCAUUUGAUAAUCUGUCAUUCACCAACUCCUCUCCAUGAAAUUUGUGGGUAAAAAAGAAAACAGCUGUUAACCCACGACAGUGACAGUUGAAUCCUCUGGUUCAUGAACCACCAGCUACGUUAUGAAGGCCCUUCGUCCUCGUCUGUAAGGCUGAGUCGAGGUCUCUUGGAUGGUCUCUUUACUAUUGUUGGUUGUAGUAACAGGAGUGGACUGUCCAAGGGGAAGGUGAGGGUGCACAUGCCACAAUCUCUGCUAGGCACUCUCGCCUGGGUAGCUUCAAUGCACCGACAAAGAAAUCAGUAAUUCUGUCAGUCAUGUCUACAGUUGCAAAAUGAUCGAGCACGCUUACUCUUACUGUAAGUAAAAGCAGAAGAAAAUUGAAUGUACAACUUGAUAUGUCAGACUACACACCUGUACUUCGAAAGCGAUUCUGCAGAGUUUUCCUGGAUAGCUGUGUGCCGACUGAUCUUCUCCCUGGAGGGUCAGUCAGAGCUUCCAUUGAUGGCUGUGUGCCGACUGAUAUGUUCUCUGGGGGGUCAGUCUGGGAGGCCACGUGUCUUACAGCAGGCAACAUUCGACAGAAACUGUCCACUGUGCCCUAAACAGCAACACAGGGAACAGCAACCUUUAUGCAUCAAUCCUCACAAAUAUUUUAAACAACUUUUUUCUUAAACAUGGCUUCUAAAACCAUAAAAAUAAGAUAAUCCUUUAUUAGUCCCGCAGUGGGGAAAUUCACAGGAACACAGCAGCAAAGUGGACAGUGCACACAAGAUGGUAUUGUUAUCUCUACUACCACCAUUAUUAUUAUCAUUAGUUGUACAGUAUAUACAUAUUUUAUGAAAGAUGACGCUGGAAAUGUUCUUUCUUUCAAUCGUCAUGUAUAUACAGGUACAUGCAUGAAAUUUGACCUCUGCAUUUAAACCCAUUCUUAGCAUUUAGGGGCAGUGAGCUGCUGUAAAGCACACGGGGAGCAACGUGGAGUUCAGUGUCUCGUUCAAUGACACUUUUGAAUUGAACCGUCAACCUUGUUGUUAAAGGACGUACAUUUAUGUUAUUAACAACAAAUUACGUGAAAAGACCUAAGUCAACAAAGUGUUAGUCCGUCUCCCAUCCCCAAGCACAACAGAUAAAUCUUUCAAAAUCAGUCACAAAUAUUUAGCUUAAUUAAAAAAAGGUAAACAAUUUGCUUGAAGAUGCCUAACAUUAGACUAUAGGAACAUUUCAAUUGCUCUUAAAAUGGCAACACCUGAGCACUUGUGAUUAUUAACAGCAACAGUCUUGAAUCUCAAGUUUUCCAUCACUCCUUUAACCAUCAAAUUGUUUUUGCAUGAUCGACAUGUUUCUUCAACCAACAUGAUAAACAUUUGUUUAGCUGCUACCCUGAGCAACGGCAACCACAGCAUCUCUGUCGACUGAAAAGGACGUUGAAGGGACGGUACAUCACUCACUGAUCAUUUACAUUUACUGACCAUUUAUGAGGGUUCAUAAAUGGAGUGCUGCAAGGAUGAUGUAUUUUUUGUAGGCCAACCCGGCCUACAAAAAAUACAUCAUCCUACUGGUUCCCUCGACAAAACGCCGAAAUUUUUGAAUAUUGUAGAUAAUGAGUUCUUUAGCAAACAAACAUUAAUGAUACUUAAAAUUGUAUGAUUUUUGAAGCGUAAUUCUGGCAUAGCUUAUUUUUUGGUGGCGUAUUGCGGCCACUUUUCUCCUCCUCUUGAGUCUUCCUCGUUUGUGCCUUCCUCCGAUUACCAUUUAAGAUAAUAAUAAGUAGUGUAUCUUCAACCCUGGCAAGUAACUUAGUCAGAAACAUUUGGCACAAAUCCUCCCAGAACAGACACCUGGUCUGUAUGGGAGAAUUACCCCGACAUCUCGGAGACAUUCACUUAAUUGCUUCUCUUUCGGCCUGGCUAACAAAAGCUCUACUAUUUGCUCCAAGGUACAUCAGCAAGUAUGACAUUACUUUGUAGUCAUUUCAACAGCAUUGAAUAAAAAAAAUAAAAAAAUACAUUUACGGCAGCACUUGUCGUGAAACCAAGUCAUUUGCAUGUAACUUGCAUUAUGCAAUCAGGGGGCGGUACUCGUGUUCCGGUCUGACGGCGGCCUUCCUCUCUCAAGACGCACUGCUGUUAGGAAGCGGUCCAUGAGGUGGAACAAGCAGCGGCAUCCCACUCCAUGGAUCGGCAUAUGCCGCUGAACCACAGAGCCACACCACCGGCCACUUUUCGACCUCGAGUAUACAAACCACAUCGGAGUGGACAGAAAACAACGUUAGACUGACGCAUUAAUCUGGUGCUAGCCUCCAUGUGGCAGACAGUCGGUACUUCUGGUUCCAUCACAGUGAAGGUGAUACCAUGUCGGUUCAAGACC
Molecule: RNA transcript, 5262 nt
Organism: Anarrhichthys ocellatus (wolf-eel)
Lineage: Eukaryota; Metazoa; Chordata; Actinopteri; Perciformes; Anarhichadidae
Gene name: carboxypeptidase Q
Exons: 11
Source: RefSeq, a predicted model, not a curated record